RNAcentral lists this ribosomal RNA (253 nucleotides) under uncultured bacterium. RNAcentral describes it as "partial 16S ribosomal RNA". It matches the Rfam family "Bacterial small subunit ribosomal RNA", at positions 524 to 776 of the family's 1533-position model. The record is from RNAcentral.
GACAGAGGGUGCAAACGUUGCUCGGAAUUACUGGGCGUAAAGCGCGUGUAGGCGGACCUGCAAGUCGGACGUGAAAGCCCUGGGCUCAACCCAGGAACUGCAUCCGAAACUGCGGGCCUGGAGUGGUGGAGAGGGAAGCAGAAUUCCUGGUGUAGCGGUGAAAUGCGUAGAUAUCUGGAGGAACACCCGUGGCGAAGGCGGCUUCCUGGCCAUAUCCUGACGCUGAGGUGCGAAAGCCAGGGGAGCGAACGGG